AUUGGAGAGUUUGAUCCUGGCUCAGGACGAACGCUGGCGGCGUGCCUAAUACAUGCAAGUCGAGCGGAGCUUAUCCUUCGGGGUAAGCUUAGCGGCGGACGGGUGAGUAACACGUAGGCAACCUACCCUCUAGACUGGGAUAACUACCGGAAACGGUAGCUAAUACCGGAUAAUUCCUUGACCCUCCUGGGAUAAGGAUGAAAGGCGGAGCAAU
RNAcentral lists this ribosomal RNA (214 nucleotides) under Paenibacillus riograndensis. RNAcentral describes it as "partial 16S ribosomal RNA". It matches the Rfam family "Bacterial small subunit ribosomal RNA", at positions 1 to 211 of the family's 1533-position model. The record is from RNAcentral. Lineage: Bacteria; Bacillati; Bacillota; Bacilli; Caryophanales; Paenibacillaceae.